This 101-nucleotide small RNA is filed under the name unclassified sequences. RNAcentral describes it as "GA-cis RNA". It matches the Rfam family "GA-cis RNA". The record is from Rfam by way of RNAcentral.
UUGAGGAGAAACCAAUACGACGAACCAAUACGACGAAGUCGUAAUUUAAGAUGGUUUCGACGACCUGCCAACCAGCGAAGGCGAGGGGGGCGAUACAGAAU